This 261-nucleotide ribosomal RNA is filed under the name Triticum aestivum (bread wheat). RNAcentral describes it as "partial small subunit ribosomal RNA". The record is from RNAcentral. Lineage: Eukaryota; Viridiplantae; Streptophyta; Magnoliopsida; Poales; Poaceae.
AUGUUACUUGCGCAAACGACGGGAUGCAAUCGUCUUAUUAGUAAUUCGGAUAAUCUGGAGGUGAUUGAUACCAUGAAGGAUGGAGGACGAUCGACGGGCGCGGCAGCACCAAUAUUUGAUGAUUUCUUUCAUUUUGUUUAUGAUUUUCCUAUUGCUAGGUUCGAACACUGUAACAGAUAAGCAAAUAAAGUUGCUCACGAGCUUGCUAGAUUAACUAGAUUUUCUUUGACUUUUUUAAGGUUGAUUUUCUUUGACUUCUGA